This 262-nucleotide small RNA is filed under the name Pelobates cultripes (western spadefoot toad). Lineage: Eukaryota; Metazoa; Chordata; Amphibia; Anura; Pelobatidae. The record is from RNAcentral.
GGGAUGGGGUGACUAGUGACAGAGUGUGGAAGAGGGUGACUAGGGACAGAGGGGGUGAUUAGUGACAGAGUGAGGGAGCGGGUGACACAGUGACAGAGUUAGGGAGGGAGUGACUAGUGACAGUCACCCCCUCCCUCCCUCUGUCACUAGUCACUCCCUCCGUCACUAGUCACUCCCUCACUCCAUCACCAGUCAUCCCCUCACUCCGUCACCAGUCACCCCUUCCCUCCCUCACUCUGCCACUAGUCAUCUUUUCCCUCCC